This is a non-coding RNA of Pimephales promelas (fathead minnow), 1641 nucleotides long. Lineage: Eukaryota; Metazoa; Chordata; Actinopteri; Cypriniformes; Leuciscidae. The record is from RefSeq and is a predicted model, not a curated record.
CUAGCUCAGUUGGUGGUAAGACAAAGACUCUAUAUCAAUCUACUCUCAAACAGGAAAUGACUAUGGCUUUUCUGUGCUCCAGAGACUAGUUGAAGAGCAUUUGUGGUUAUCAACCAGUAAGAGAGUUUCCUUCUGUAUGAACAGUGCGUGUGUGAUGGCCCAGACAAAAGAUCAAAACUUUGGGCAGUCGUCAGGCACUAACUCUGCCCUUCACAGACUGGACACUUUAGCUAGCCGUUUUUUUUACAAAUACCGGAAAGGAAACCAGGAGAAAGGACUAGAGAAUGAAGGGCCACAUGUGUCAGAGUACACUGGCCUUUGGGACGCAACAAUGAAAGAAGUCUUGACAAAAGCCAAAGAAGAUUUUUUGAUUAAAUGGGAGAGUCAGGCACAGAACACAUCAUGUCUUGAUGACUUUGACAGACUGAAAACUCUUGGGACUGGAUCUUUUGGAAGAGUAAUGCUAGUCAAGCACAGACAGUCGGGACAAUACUAUGCUAUGAAGAUUCUGGACAGGCAAAAAGUGGUGAAGCUCAAACAGGUAGAACACACAUUAAAUGAGAAGAAAAUAUUACAAGCAGUUUCCUUUCCUUUCCUUGUGAAGCUGGAGUGCGCUUUUAAGGAUAAUUCAAAUUUGUACAUGGUCAUGGAAUAUAUCCAAGGCGGUGAGAUGUUCUCACAUUUAAGACGGAUUGGAAGAUUCAGUGAGCAGAAUGCACGUUUCUAUGCUGCUCAGAUUGUUCUGACGUUCGAGUAUCUACAUACUCUAGACCUUAUCUACAGGGACCUGAAACCUGAAAACUUGCUCAUUGAUCAUCAGGGAUACAUCCAGGUAACAGACUUCGGCUUUGCCAAACGAGUGAAAGGCAGAACUUGGACAUUGUGCGGUACACCCGAGUACCUGGCACCAGAGAUCAUUCUCAGCAAGGGCUACAACAAAGCUGUUGACUGGUGGGCAUUGGGUGUUCUGAUCUAUGAAAUGGCUGCUGGAUAUCCACCUUUCUUCGCUGAUCAACCUAUUCAGAUCUAUGAGAAAAUCGUAUCUGGCAAGGUACGAUUCCCCUCACACUUCAGUUCAGACCUGAAGGAUGUUCUGCGCAAUCUGCUGCAAGUGGACCUCACAAAGCGCUUUGGCAAUUUGAAAAAUGGAGUCAGUGACAUCAAAAACCACAGAUGGUUUGCUACGACAGACUGGAUCGCAAUCUAUGAGAAGAAGGUCGAUGCUCCGAUCAUACCAAAGUGCAGAGGGCCUGGAGACACAAGUAACUUUGAUGAAUAUGAUGAGGAAAACAUACGGGUAUCUGUCACAGAGAAAUGUACAAAAGAGUUCUUGGAGUUCUAGGGUACCUGCAUGUAAAAGCUUUAUUAGGAGCUUUAAAAAGGUAAAAAUAGGCUAUCAGGUUGAUUAAUCUAUCCAUGCUUGUGAACAACUACAUUUCCCAUCGUUCGAGACUACAUUACCCACGAUCCCCCGUUCCUGCAUUUGUCGGAUUGUGCUGGGCGAAAAAAGCGUAAUAUUGUUCCAAUGAUCGGGAAUCAAUAACAUCCAAGCCAUCUACAUAAAUCAUCCAAUCAUAAAACAAAUUGAAUCAAUUCUCUGACUACACAAAGAUUUAUCCAGAAGCUUGGAUGUUUGUGUAA